AGCCCUAUGGUGUAAUUGGCAACACAGUUGGUUUUGGUCCAACUAUUCUAGGUUCGAGUCCUGGUGGGGCUGCCA
This 75-nucleotide transfer RNA is filed under the name Treponema sp. Its description in RNAcentral is "tRNA-Gln". It matches the Rfam family "tRNA". From Rfam's summary of the family: Transfer RNA (tRNA) molecules are approximately 80 nucleotides in length. Their secondary structure includes four short double-helical elements and three loops (D, anti-codon, and T loops). The record is from RNAcentral. RNAcentral also lists the same sequence under 1 other name. Lineage: Bacteria; Pseudomonadati; Spirochaetota; Spirochaetia; Treponematales; Treponemataceae.